RNAcentral lists this long non-coding RNA (1002 nucleotides) under Anser cygnoides (Swan goose). RNAcentral describes it as "lncRNA (ENSACDG00005010871.1)". The record is from RNAcentral. Lineage: Eukaryota; Metazoa; Chordata; Aves; Anseriformes; Anatidae.
GGGCCAUUUCUUCCUGGAUUUCUUAUGAGUCAUAUAAGCAUAAAAUCAAUUGGCCCUGUAAAUCAGCAUGAAAUAAUCUGCCUUCAAGAAAACUAGCUGGAAGUAUUUAUGCAUUAAGGACACUGUCCUCCAAACCAUAAAACAUCAGUCAAGCCCCCUUGCACAGGAUCUGCUGAAAUACAAGAGAAUUCACUGCACAAGUUGUAGGGAAACCUUCUUGCUCAGCAGACAAGGAGUGCCUAGUGAUGCUAUAAAUCAACCUGACCUACACUAUCAGUCUACCUGCUGUUCUGUCACAUACCAUAGAUGAGGCUAGAACAGGGAUGAGACAGGAAACUUGCCUGUGGGGUACUGUUCAACCAAGGCUAUGAAUUUCUCUUCAAACCCUUUUGUGCACUACAGGAAACAAAACUGUGUCAAAGCAAACCUGAAGUCACUUUCCUAUCAUUACCCUCAUUCUUUAAUUUUAGCAUAUUCCCUGCUAUACUUUUAGUUCCUACCAAUUAUCACUCUCUCAAAAAACUCAGACACAAACUCCCAGUUAAUACAAAAAUAUAGAUGAGUUAAGGGUAAAAGAAUUUAGCUCUAUAGAUGUAGGUUUUGCCAUGUAAGUUAGCCUUUGGGAUGAAAUAUUCCCUGUCAUUUGGAUGCUUGCCCAAAUUGUAUUCGUUUCACAAAAAAAAAAAAAAAAAAAUUCCUAUUGAAAUUUCCCUAGCUUUCAUAAACAAGUUACAGCUCAGCUCACAAAAUAACAUAGAUACAAAAAGUCUUGGAAGCCGACGUAUCACCUCUCAACCAGACACCAAGUUGAAGACACCCUUGAGUUUCUUCCUGACUCCUUCCACCUUUGAGAAAGUGUUUUUAAUCUCUUGCAAGAGGAAGAGCUGUCCUGUCCAGACAAUUGUGCACACAACAGGCAAGCAGAUAAAAACCAAAGUGAUGGCAACAUCCAAAACUUACAUCAACAAAGUAGCAGGUUUCCCCUCCGAAAAGGUAUGUUGA